Molecule: ribosomal RNA, 491 nt
Filed under: uncultured bacterium
Lineage: Bacteria
Description: bacterial SSU rRNA
Rfam family: Bacterial small subunit ribosomal RNA
Source: RNAcentral
AGAGUUUGAUUAUGGCUCAGGACGAACGCUGGCGGCGUGCUUAACACAUGCAAGUCGAACGGGAGUAUCAAAGAAGCUUGCUUUUUAAGAUACUUUAGUGGCGGACGGGUGAGUAACGCGUGAGGAGCUGUCCUAUGCAGGGGGACAACAGUUGGAAACGGCUGCUAAUACCCCAUAAGCCGAGAGGUAAAAGGAUUAAUCCGGCAAAGGAGGCACUCGCGUCCUAUCAGCUAGUAGGUUGGGUAACGGCCGACCUAGGCGAAGACGGGUAGCCGGCCUGAGAGGGCGAACGGCCACACUGGAACUGAGAUACGGUCCAGACUCCUACGGGAGGCAGCAGUGGGGAAUAUUGGGCAAUGGGGGGAAACCCCCUGACCCAGCGACGCCGCGUGGGUGAAGAAAUCCUUCGGGAUGUAAAGCCCUGUUGUAUGGGAAGAGUAGAAGACGGUACCAUACGAGGAAGCCCCGGCAAACUACGUGCCAGCAGCCGC